This 1050-nucleotide ribosomal RNA is filed under the name Staphylococcus aureus. Its description in RNAcentral is "partial 23S ribosomal RNA". It matches the Rfam family "Bacterial large subunit ribosomal RNA", at positions 1333 to 2378 of the family's 2925-position model. The record is from RNAcentral. Lineage: Bacteria; Bacillati; Bacillota; Bacilli; Caryophanales; Staphylococcaceae.
UCCACCGAUUGACUAAGGUUUCCAGAGGAAGGCUCGUCCGCUCUGGGUUAGUCGGGUCCUAAGCUGAGGCCGACAGGCGUAGGCGAUGGAUAACAGGUUGAUAUUCCUGUACCACCUAUAAUCGUUUUAAUCGAUGGGGGGACGCAGUAGGAUAGGCGAAGCGUGCGAUUGGAUUGCACGUCUAAGCAGUAAGGCUGAGUAUUAGGCAAAUCCGGUACUCGUUAAGGCUGAGCUGUGAUGGGGAGAAGACAUUGUGUCUUCGAGUCGUUGAUUUCACACUGCCGAGAAAAGCCUCUAGAUAGAAAAUAGGUGCCCGUACCGCAAACCGACACAGGUAGUCAAGAUGAGAAUUCUAAGGUGAGCGAGCGAACUCUCGUUAAGGAACUCGGCAAAAUGACCCCGUAACUUCGGGAGAAGGGGUGCUCUUUAGGGUUAACGCCCAGAAGAGCCGCAGUGAAUAGGCCCAAGCGACUGUUUAUCAAAAACACAGGUCUCUGCUAAACCGUAAGGUGAUGUAUAGGGGCUGACGCCUGCCCGGUGCUGGAAGGUUAAGAGGAGUGGUUAGCUUCUGCGAAGCUACGAAUCGAAGCCCCAGUAAACGGCGGCCGUAACUAUAACGGUCCUAAGGUAGCGAAAUUCCUUGUCGGGUAAGUUCCGACCCGCACGAAAGGCGUAACGAUUUGGGCACUGUCUCAACGAGAGACUCGGUGAAAUCAUAGUACCUGUGAAGAUGCAGGUUACCCGCGACAGGACGGAAAGACCCCGUGGAGCUUUACUGUAGCCUGAUAUUGAAAUUCGGCACAGCUUGUACAGGAUAGGUAGGAGCCUUUGAAACGUGAGCGCUAGCUUACGUGGAGGCGCUGGUGGGAUACUACCCUAGCUGUGUUGGCUUUCUAACCCGCACCACUUAUCGUGGUGGGAGACAGUGUCAGGCGGGCAGUUUGACUGGGGCGGUCGCCUCCUAAAAGGUAACGGAGGCGCUCAAAGGUUCCCUCAGAAUGGUUGGAAAUCAUUCAUAGAGUGUAAAGGCAUAAGGGAGCUUGACUGCGA